Molecule: long non-coding RNA, 1017 nt
Filed under: Callithrix jacchus (white-tufted-ear marmoset)
Lineage: Eukaryota; Metazoa; Chordata; Mammalia; Primates; Cebidae
Description: lncRNA (ENSCJAG00000079285.1)
Source: RNAcentral
CCUCGAACGGCGGGUGGGCUACACCCACGGCGAGGCUGGCCGGGAUUCCCGGCCUGUCCCUUUAACCCCGCCGCCGGGCUGGAGCACGUGAGCCGGGCUCCGGGUGGCACCCGGGCGCCGCCGCCGCCGAGGCAGUUGUAUUUCGAACGCUGCCUCUGGCUAGCGGCCAGGCGCCUUGGCUCCGGGGUCCGCCUGGCCUCCCUCCUCCUCAUACUUUUCUUCCUGCGCAGCCCCCUCCCCUUUAUCCGCCCACGAUUAGAGGUGGGCACUCCCCCCCCCAGCGCAAGCGCGCGCGCGCGCACACACACACCACACACACUCACACUCACACACACUCACACACACUCAUCCCACUUGAAUCUUGGGGUGGGAACUCAGAAAACUUUCAGCCGGGCAGCGCGCGCUUGGUGCAAGACUCAGGAGCGAGCAGCCCGUCCCUCUCCGACUCUCCAGUGCAGCCGCCGCCUGCUCCCGCCACCCGAGGAGGCGCGGUGCCACCCACUGCUCUGUCCUCUGCCUGUGCUCCGCGCCCGACCCUAUCCCGGCGGAAUCUCCCCAUCCUCCUUUGCUUUCCGACUACCCAAGGCACUUUCAAUCUCAAUCUCUUCUCUCUCUCUCUCUCUCUCUCUCUCUCUCUCUCUCUCUCUCUCUCUCUCUUUCCCUCUCUCUCUCUCUCUCUCUGCGGAGAAGGGCUGGGGGAAAGAGGAGGAGGAAUUCUUUCCCCGCCUAACAUUUCAAGGGACACAAUUCUCUCCCAGUCUCUUCCCUUUCCAAGCCGCUUCCGAAGUGCUCCCGGUGCCCGCAACUCCAGAUCCCAACCCGCGAGAGGAGCCUCUGCCACCUCAAAGCCUCUCUUCCUUCUCGCUCGCUUCCCUCCUCCUCUCGCUACCUCCACCUCCACCGCCACCUCCACCUCCGGCACCCACCCACCGCCGCCGCCGCCACCGGCAGCGCCUCCUCCUCUCCUCCUCCUCCUCCCCUCUUCUUUUUUUGGCAGCGCUGGACGUCCGGUGUUGA